This 446-nucleotide ribosomal RNA is filed under the name uncultured bacterium. Its description in RNAcentral is "bacterial SSU rRNA". It matches the Rfam family "Bacterial small subunit ribosomal RNA", at positions 330 to 792 of the family's 1533-position model. The record is from RNAcentral.
UCCAGACUCCUACGGAGGCAGCAGUGGGGAAUAUUGGGCAAUGGGCGCAAGCCUGACCCAGCAACGCCGCGUGAAGGAAGAAGGCUUUCGGGUUGUAAACUUCUUUUGACAGGGAAGAGCAGAAGACGGUACCCGUCGAAUAAGCCACGGCUAACUACGUGCCAGCAGCCGCGGUAAUACGUAGGUGGCAAGCGUUGUCCGGAUUUACUGGGUGUAAAGGGAGCGUAGACGGCCAAGCAAGCCAGGGGUGAAAGCCCGGGGCCCAACCCCGGGACUGCCCUUGGAACUGCAUGGCUGGAGUGCGGGAGGGGCAGGCGGAAUUCCUGGUGUAGCGGUGAAAUGCGUAGAUAUCAGGAGGAACACCGGCGGCGAAGGCGGCCUGCUGGACCGCGACUGACGUUGAGGCUCGAAAGCGUGGGGAGCGAACAGGAUUAGAUACCCCGGUA